CAAGGCUGAUCUAGGGGCUAACUAAUUGAUUGUUAAGGGGGAUUCUAUCAUGAUGGUGGGCUGGAUGUGAGGGUAGCAAGUAUAGAUGCUAUAUAUCUGCUCCUACGUGAUAUCUGAAGGUUAUUGGAGAGCAUGUCUCUGUCGACAUAGAGCACAUUUAUCACAAUCUUGACAAUGCUGUAGAUUGGAUCGUUAGUUUUGUUGCCGAAUAUUC
Molecule: long non-coding RNA, 214 nt
Filed under: Elaeis guineensis (African oil palm)
Lineage: Eukaryota; Viridiplantae; Streptophyta; Magnoliopsida; Arecales; Arecaceae
Description: long non-coding RNA (EGUI_LNC025247)
Source: RNAcentral